Molecule: transfer RNA, 31 nt
Filed under: Plethodon welleri (spot-bellied salamander)
Lineage: Eukaryota; Metazoa; Chordata; Amphibia; Caudata; Plethodontidae
Description: partial tRNA-Ser
Source: RNAcentral
GAGAAGAAUUAAGAAANAUAGAGACUGCUAA